AGAAUCAACGCUGGCGGCGUGCCUAACACAUGCAAGUCGCACGAGAAAGGGGAGCAAUCCCUGAGUAAAGUGGCGCACGGGUGAGUAACACGUGAAUAAUCUACCUCCGAGUGGGGAAUAACUGAGAGAAAUCUUAGCUAAUACCGCAUAACACUUACGAGUCAAAGCAGCAAUGCGCUUGGAGAGGAGUUCGCGGCAGAUUAGUUAGUUGGCGGGGUAAUGGCCCACCAAGACGAUGAUCUGUAUCCGGCCUGAGAGGGCGCACGGACACACUGGAACUGAAACACGGUCCAGACUCCUACGGGAGGCAGCAGUGGGGAAUUUUGCGCAAUGGGGGAAACCCUGACGCAGCAACGCCGCGUGGAGGAUGAAGCCCCUUGGGGUGUAAACUCCUUUCGAUCGGGAAGAUAAUGACGGUACCGAUAUAAGAAGCCCCGGCUAACUUCGCGCCAGCAGCCGC
This 460-nucleotide ribosomal RNA is filed under the name uncultured bacterium. RNAcentral describes it as "SSU rRNA". It matches the Rfam family "Bacterial small subunit ribosomal RNA", at positions 26 to 518 of the family's 1533-position model. The record is from RNAcentral.